AUUGAACGCUGGCGGCAUGCCUUACACAUGCAAGUCGAACGGCAGCACGGGAGCAAUCCUGGUGGCGAGUGGCGAACGGGUGAGUAAUAUAUCGGAACGUGCCCAGUCGUGGGGGAUAACGCAGCGAAAGCUGUGCUAAUACCGCAUACGAUCUAAGGAUGAAAGCGGGGGAUCGCAAGACCUCGCGCGAUUUGAGCGGCCGAUAUCAGAUUAGCUAGUUGGUGGGGGAAAGGCCCACCAAGGCGACGAUCUGUAGCUGGUCUGAGAGGACGACCAGCCACACUGGAACUGAGACACGGUCCAGACUCCUACGGGAGGCAGCAGUGGGGAAUUUUGGACAAUGGGCGCAAGCCUGAUCCAGCAAUGCCGCGUGCAGGAUGAAGGCCUUCGGGUUGUAAACUGCUUUUGUACGGAACGAAACGGCCCUUUCUAAUACAGGGGGCUAAUGACGGUACCGUAAGAAAAGCACCGGCUAACUACGUGCCAGCCGCCGCCGUAA
This 499-nucleotide ribosomal RNA is filed under the name uncultured bacterium. Its description in RNAcentral is "partial 16S ribosomal RNA". It matches the Rfam family "Bacterial small subunit ribosomal RNA", at positions 30 to 523 of the family's 1533-position model. The record is from RNAcentral.